CGCACUUUGGACAUUCCUCCAGUGGAUGGACUGGCACAGAGGGGCAGCAGACAUUGAAUGGUUGGUAAGGUGGAUGAGUCUGGCAGCAGCAUUCAUGAAAGACUGAAGAAGGGAUAGGCU
Long non-coding RNA from Nanorana parkeri, 120 nucleotides. RefSeq lists it as uncharacterized. The transcript has 4 exons. The record is from RefSeq and is a predicted model, not a curated record. Lineage: Eukaryota; Metazoa; Chordata; Amphibia; Anura; Dicroglossidae.